UUAUGGCCAUAUCAUUUUGAAACACCAGUUCUCAUACAAUCACUGAAGUUAAGCAAUGUCAAGCCCAGUCAGUACCUAGAUGGGUGACCACUUGGGAAUACCAGGUGCU
RNAcentral lists this ribosomal RNA (109 nucleotides) under Acanthosepion pharaonis. The record is from RNAcentral. Lineage: Eukaryota; Metazoa; Mollusca; Cephalopoda; Sepiida; Sepiidae.